Molecule: long non-coding RNA, 240 nt
Filed under: Setaria viridis
Lineage: Eukaryota; Viridiplantae; Streptophyta; Magnoliopsida; Poales; Poaceae
Description: long non-coding RNA (SVIR_LNC009181)
Source: RNAcentral
GGGAAUUUAUAGGUAAGGAGUUUUUGUCCCAGUUGGAAAUUCUAAUUGGGACAAAAGUCCCCUCCCCUUUUGUCCCAGUUGGUAAUUCAAAAUGGACUAAAUCUUUUGUCCCGGUUGGAAUUUAGCUUCCCCCGUCGGUGGCUAGAUUUUUUCAGCCCACGACCAGACUAAAAGGAGGACUUUAGUCCUGCUUGGAAAGUCCAACCGGGAUUAAAGCUCUCCCUAUCGGUGACUGUCGCU